GCUAGCGUUGCUCGGAAUCACUGGGCGUAAAGCGCACGUAGGCGGAUUUUUAAGUCAGGGGUGAAAUCCUGGAGCUCAACUCCAGAACUGCCUUUGAUACUGGGAAUCUCGAGUCCGGGAGAGGUGAGUGGAACUGCGAGUGUAGAGGUGAAAUUCGUAGAUAUUCGCAAGAACACCAGUGGCGAAGGCGGCUCACUGGCCCGGUACUGACGCUGAGGUGCGAAAGCGUGGGGAGCAAACAGG
Molecule: ribosomal RNA, 243 nt
Filed under: uncultured bacterium
Lineage: Bacteria
Description: partial 16S ribosomal RNA
Rfam family: Bacterial small subunit ribosomal RNA
Source: RNAcentral